Molecule: long non-coding RNA, 239 nt
Filed under: Coturnix japonica (Japanese quail)
Lineage: Eukaryota; Metazoa; Chordata; Aves; Galliformes; Phasianidae
Description: lncRNA (ENSCJPG00005003833.1)
Source: RNAcentral
AUGCAGAACCCCCAGACCCCUUUAUUCAGGCUUACUCUCCAGCAGAUGGGAGGUACUGCUGUGACAUCUCAACUGCAGCUGAAGAUAUUCAAUCUGAGACAUAAAAAAAAGAAUAGUGCAAUGUUGUGGGAUAAACAUCUAGAGCAGUAGUGCAAUGAAUGACAGUUUGUUUCCAGAGAACAGCAAAAUAUCAUGAGGAAAUCCAGAGGAAAUAAACCACAAAAUGAAACAACCUUUCA